GAUGAACGCUAGCUACAGGCUUAACACAUGCAAGUCGAGGGCAGCACAGUGUAGCAAUACACGGGUGGCGACCGGCGCACGGGUGCGUAACGCGUAUCCAACUUUCCCGUUACUCAGGGAUAGCCUUCCGAAAGGGAGAUUAAUACCUGAUGGNGUUUGAAGUUCGCAUGUUCUUCAAACUAAAGAUUUAUCGGUAACGGAUAGGGAUGCGUGACAUUAGAUAGUAGGCGGGGUAACGGCCCACCUAGUCUACGAUGUCUAGGGGUUCUGAGAGGAAGGUCCCCCCACACUGGAACUGAGACACGGUCCAGACUCCUACGGGAGGCAGCAGUGAGGAAUAUUGGUCAAUGGCCGGAAGGCUGAACCAGCCAAGUAGCGUGAAGGAUGAAGGUUCUAUGGAUUGUAAACUUCUUUUAUAUAGGAAUAAAACCUCCCACGUGUGGGAGCUUGUAUGUACUAUAUGAAUAAGCAUCGGCUAACUCCGUG
RNAcentral lists this ribosomal RNA (486 nucleotides) under uncultured bacterium. RNAcentral's name for it is "bacterial SSU rRNA". It matches the Rfam family "Bacterial small subunit ribosomal RNA", at positions 28 to 507 of the family's 1533-position model. The record is from RNAcentral.